GGCUCGUUGGUCAAGAGGUUAAGACACCGCCCUUUCACGGCGGUAACAGGGUUCAACCCCUACGAGUCACCA
RNAcentral lists this transfer RNA (72 nucleotides) under Clostridioides difficile. RNAcentral's name for it is "tRNA-Glu". It matches the Rfam family "tRNA". From Rfam's summary of the family: Transfer RNA (tRNA) molecules are approximately 80 nucleotides in length. Their secondary structure includes four short double-helical elements and three loops (D, anti-codon, and T loops). Lineage: Bacteria; Bacillati; Bacillota; Clostridia; Peptostreptococcales; Peptostreptococcaceae. The record is from RNAcentral.